This 522-nucleotide ribosomal RNA is filed under the name uncultured bacterium. RNAcentral's name for it is "bacterial SSU rRNA". It matches the Rfam family "Bacterial small subunit ribosomal RNA", at positions 25 to 518 of the family's 1533-position model. The record is from RNAcentral.
CAGGACGAACGCUGGCGGCGUGCCUAAUACAUGCAAGUCGAACGGCUUUUCUAUGGAAGCUUGCUUCCACUGAGAAGAUAGUGGCGAACGGGUGAGUAACACGUGGGUAACCUGCCCAUAAGAGGGGGGAUAACAUCCGGAAACGGGUGCUAAUACCGCAUAGUUUUCUUGAUCGCAUGAUCGGGAAAGGAAAGACGGCCUUUGUGCUGUCGCUUAUGGAUGGACCCGCGGCGUAUUAGUUAGUUGGUGAGGUAACGGCUCACCAAGACGAUGAUACGUAGCCGACCUGAGAGGGUGAUCGGCCACAUUGGGACUGAGACACGGCCCAAACUCCUACGGGAGGCAGCAGUAGGGAAUCUUCCGCAAUGGACGAAAGUCUGACGGAGCAACGCCGCGUGAGUGAAGAAAAGGUUUUCGGAUCGUAAAACUCUGUUGUCAGAGAAGAACAAGUUGGAGAGUAACUGCUCCAGCCUUGACGGUAUCUGACCAGAAAGCCACGGCUAACUACGUGCCAGCCGCAGC